GGGCGGUUAGCUCAGCCCGGUUAGAGCGUUUGCUUGACAUGCAAAAGGUCACAGGUUCGAGUCCUGUACCGCCCA
This 75-nucleotide transfer RNA is filed under the name Candidatus Omnitrophota bacterium. RNAcentral describes it as "Candidatus Omnitrophica bacterium (aquatic metagenome) tRNA-Val". It matches the Rfam family "tRNA". From Rfam's summary of the family: Transfer RNA (tRNA) molecules are approximately 80 nucleotides in length. Their secondary structure includes four short double-helical elements and three loops (D, anti-codon, and T loops). Further hydrogen bonds mediate the characteristic L-shaped molecular structure. tRNAs have two regions of fundamental functional importance: the anti-codon, which is responsible for specific mRNA codon recognition, and the 3' end, to which the tRNAs corresponding amino acid is attached (by aminoacyl-tRNA synthetases). tRNAs cope with the degeneracy of the genetic code in two manners: having more than one tRNA (with a specific anti-codon) for a particular amino acid; and 'wobble' base-pairing, i.e. permitting non-standard base-pairing at the 3rd anti-codon position. The record is from RNAcentral. Lineage: Bacteria; Pseudomonadati; Candidatus Omnitrophota.